GUGGCGCACUGGUGAGUAACGCGUGGGAAUCUGCCCAGCAGUGGGGGAUAACCUCUGGAAACGGAGGCUAAUACCGCAUACGCCCCUCGGGGGAAAGGCUUGCUGCUGCUGGAGGAGCCCGCGUCGGAUUAGGUAGUUGGUGGGGUAACGGCCUACCAAGCCUGUGAUCCGUAGCUGGUCUGAGAGGAUGAUCAGCCACACUGGGACUGAGACACGGCCCAGACUCCUACGGGAGGCUGCAGUCGAGAAUCUUCGGCAAUGGGGGAAACCCUGACCGAGCGACGUCGCGUGGUGGAUGAAGGCCUUCGGGUUGUAAACACCUGUUGGGGGGGAACAAUAACGAGUGAACCCCUGAGGAAGCACGGGCUAAGUUCGUGCCAGCAGCCGCGGUAAGACGAACCGUGCAAACGUUACUCGGAAUCACUGGGCUUAAAGCGCACGUAGGCGGCGACAUAAGUUAGAGGUGAAAUCCCACGGCUCAACCGUGGAACUGCCUCUAAUACUGUGUUGCUUGAGGGAGAACGGGGCAUUCGGAACUUCCGGUGGAGCGGUGAAAUGUGUUGAUAUCGGAAGGAACGCCGGUGGCGAAAGCGGAAUGCUGGGUCUCUUCUGACGCUGAGGUGCGAAAGCUAGGGUAGCGAACGGGAUUAGAUACCCCGGUAGUCCUA
Molecule: ribosomal RNA, 668 nt
Filed under: uncultured Planctomycetaceae bacterium
Lineage: Bacteria; Pseudomonadati; Planctomycetota; Planctomycetia; Planctomycetales; Planctomycetaceae
Description: bacterial SSU rRNA
Rfam family: Bacterial small subunit ribosomal RNA
Source: RNAcentral